CAUGGCCAAACUCAUAACU
RNAcentral lists this non-coding RNA (19 nucleotides) under Arabidopsis thaliana (thale cress). The record is from RNAcentral. Lineage: Eukaryota; Viridiplantae; Streptophyta; Magnoliopsida; Brassicales; Brassicaceae.